RNAcentral lists this ribosomal RNA (450 nucleotides) under uncultured bacterium. RNAcentral describes it as "partial 16S ribosomal RNA". It matches the Rfam family "Bacterial small subunit ribosomal RNA", at positions 354 to 796 of the family's 1533-position model. The record is from RNAcentral.
GUGGGGAAUAUUGGACAAUGGGCGAAAGCCUGAUCCAGCCAUGCCGCGUGUGUGAAGAAGGUCUUCGGAUUGUAAAGCACUUUAAGUUGGGAGGAAGGGCAGUAAGUUAAUACCUUGCUGUUUUGACGUUACCGACAGAAUAAGCACCGGCUAACUUCGUGCCAGCAGCCGCGGUAAUACGAAGGGUGCAAGCGUUAAUCGGAAUUACUGGGCGUAAAGCGCGCGUAGGUGGUUUUGUAAGUUGGAGGUGAAAUCCCCGGGCUCAACCCGGGAACUGCCUCCAAAACUGCAUGACUAGAGUACGGUAGAGGGUAGUGGAAUUUCCUGUGUAGCGGUGAAAUGCGUAGAUAUAGGAAGGAACACCAGUGGCGAAGGCGACUACCUGGACUGAUACUGACACUGAGGUGCGAAAGCGUGGGGAGCAAACAGGAUUAGAUACCCCGGUAGUCC